CGCCUCAGCCUCGGCACCUGUGGCUCUGUACAUCCUUCCGGAAAAUGCAAGAGAGUGGCCUAAGUUUAAGGUCCCCGAUCAUUUCGUCUAUAUAACUGUUACCUUAAAUAGCAGGACUGUUUUGAGAACCUGUCACCAGUUUAACUCGGGCUUCACAAAUAGGUCGAUAUUGAAGGACGGCCCAGCAAACUAUAGAUUUGAACAUGACAGUAACAGAGCAUCCAUGAAGCAAACGUUAGAGCUUUCGAAUCGUUCUCGCGAUACUUUGAUGUCAUACGCCGAUCGAUCUGCGCAACCCUGCGUGCAGUCAAACACCUGUAGCGAAUAGUGUUUUACAUUUCUUCGAGGAAGACAUUAACAUAAUCGCGUUUAAGAUUUUACCUCAUGUAAAAUUAAAUAAUUACACAUUUUUUUACACGCGAUAUGUUCAAAAUGUGCAUGCAGGCGGAGCUGCGUACCUACGUCACUCGUUAAAAUGGAAUCAUUACAACACACUGCACUCCUGCGGAAAAAAAUAUAAUGACAAAAUCCAGCAUGUCAAGAUUGUUUAUACCUGACAGCGAAACGAAAGCAAAGUGAUAUAUGAUUCUCUUUCUAACAAGGCUUUGGCUCAGAUGCUUUCAAUAAAAAGAUGAAAAACUCUG
Misgurnus anguillicaudatus (oriental weatherfish) is the source of this 644-nucleotide non-coding RNA. NCBI's taxonomy places the organism in Eukaryota, Metazoa, Chordata, Actinopteri, Cypriniformes, Cobitidae. The record is from RefSeq and is a predicted model, not a curated record.